Molecule: ribosomal RNA, 511 nt
Filed under: human gut metagenome
Description: bacterial LSU rRNA
Rfam family: Bacterial large subunit ribosomal RNA
Source: RNAcentral
AGAAGAACUUUCUGGAAAGAAAGACCAUAGAGCAUGACAGUUGCGUAUUCGAAUGUUGUCUAAGCAUAGUAGUAUCCUGAGUAGCGCGGAGCACGAGGAAUUCUGCGUGAAUCUGCCGGGACCAUCCGGUAAGGCUAAAUACUCCCGAGAGACCGAUAGCGAACCAGUACCGUGAGGGAAAGGUGAAAAGCACUUCGAACAGAAGAGUGAAAUAGUUCCUGAAACCGUGCGCCUACAAGCGGUCGGAGCUCGUUAAUGAGUGACGGCGUGCCUUUUGCAUAAUGAACCUACGAGUUGCCUUUGCCGGCAAGGUUAAGUGUGACGACACACGUAUCCGAAGCGAAAGCGAGUCUGAACAGGGCGUAUAGUCGGCAGUGGCAGACGCGAAACCAAGUGAUCUACCCUUGGCCAGGUUGAAGGCUGGGUAACACCAGCUGGAGGACCGCACCAAUAAGCGUUGAAAAGCUUCUGGAUGAGCUGAGGGUAGGGGUGAAAGGCUAAUCAAACUUGG